This 1152-nucleotide ribosomal RNA is filed under the name Triticum aestivum (bread wheat). RNAcentral's name for it is "partial small subunit ribosomal RNA". Lineage: Eukaryota; Viridiplantae; Streptophyta; Magnoliopsida; Poales; Poaceae. The record is from RNAcentral.
AUGGGCUCCAGCAAAGGCUCGCCCCCGCCCUCCGCCGCGGGGCCCUCGUCGGCCGGGAAUGCCCCCGCGCCGGUGGGGCCGGCGCCUAGGCCGCCGGAGGUGGCGCCGUUCCUCACCAAGGUCUACGACAUGGUCUCGGACGCGGCCACCGACAAGGUCAUGUCGUGGACGGACGCCGGCAACAGCUUCGUGAUCUGGGACGCGCACGCCUUCGAGCGCGACCUGCUCAGCCGCCACUUCAAGCACCGCAACUUCAGCAGCUUCAUACGCCAGCUCAACACCUAUGGAUUUCGUAAAGUUGACCCUGAUAGAUGGGAGUGGGCCAAUGAAGGGUUUCUUAGGGGCCAAAAGCAUCUUCUGAAAAUCAUUAAGAGAAAGAAGAGACCUCAGGAAGCAGGUCGUGAGUUAGAGAAGGCACCUGUCAAAGCUGCACCUGGUACUGAAAAUAUUGAAAUAGGAAGAUAUGGCGGGCUUGUAAAGGAGGUGGAAACCCUUAAGAGGGAUAAAUCUCUUCUCAUGCAGCAGCUUGUGGAUCUCAGGCACUACCAGCAAAGCUCUAACCUUGAAGUCCAGAGUUUGAUUCAACGCCUUCAAGUAAUGGAACAGAACCAGAAGCAGAUGAUGGCACUUCUAUCAAUCGUUGUCCAGAACCCUAGUCUUCUCAACCAGCUUGUGCAGCAGCAGCAGCAGCAGCGCAGGGCCAACUGGUAUGAGGAUGGAAACAAGAAAAGGAGGUUCCCUGCUCUAGAGCAGGGUCCAGUAACUGAUUACGGGACUUCUGGCGCAGGGACCGAAAUUAUUCAGUAUCGGCCUCCUGCCCCUGAAACUUCUAGCCCAGUAAUACCAGAUGAAGCAUUUUUGUCGGCCACCACACAACCAAUCUCAAGUCCCGCACUUAACAUGCCCAUGGACAUUGACACUCAAACGACGUCGGACAACCUCAACACACAAGGUUCAUCAGGGGACAUUUUUGCUGACAUGCCUGCUCUACCAGACUUUGAUGACAUGCAUCUGUGGUUUGGCGAAGACGGGGAACCUACUUUAACUAUUCAAGAUUAUGAUGAGUCUCCACAGUCAGAGCAGGACUGUCAGAUGGAAGCACAGCAUAACUACAAUAACCCUCAACAUGCUGAUGUCAUAACUGAAGCAUAG